Molecule: transfer RNA, 81 nt
Filed under: Treponema sp.
Lineage: Bacteria; Pseudomonadati; Spirochaetota; Spirochaetia; Treponematales; Treponemataceae
Description: tRNA-Leu
Rfam family: tRNA
About the family: Transfer RNA (tRNA) molecules are approximately 80 nucleotides in length.
Source: RNAcentral
GCGAGAGUGGUGGAAUUGGCAGACACGCCAGACUUAGGAUCUGGUGCCAUUGGCAUGAGGGUUCAAGUCCCUCCCCUCGCA